RNAcentral lists this long non-coding RNA (537 nucleotides) under Gouania willdenowi (blunt-snouted clingfish). RNAcentral describes it as "lncRNA (ENSGWIG00000005336.1)". Lineage: Eukaryota; Metazoa; Chordata; Actinopteri; Blenniiformes; Gobiesocidae. The record is from RNAcentral.
CUCUUUGUCUGGUGAAGACACAGAAGAAAUCACUGUAAGAAUGAAGUACAAACUCUUUUUAAAGAAUCUUUUCCACUCCGAUGCUGUCUUUGACAUAAGUUUACAAUGUUGAAAGGAAGAAAGAGCUCGAUGACCCGGCAGGUUCUGCAGAAUCCAGAAGUUUCUGAGCAAGGAUAUUUAAAAAAAGUUAUGAACGGAUUUCAGUGAAACUUGGACAUCAGCCAAGCCCUGAACUCUUUGUCUUUUUGUAUACUCCAUCACCGACAUCAUCCUCCUCCUCCUCCGUGUCGCCCUUCACUGUACGCGGCCGUGCCAAGAUGAUUGUUCACGCUGGGGUUUGGAAUUUUUGCAUCUCCUGCUGUCGUCAACACAAUAUUGGAGGCAGACGGAGCCAAAACAAUAACACAGAGCACUGGCCAUCAUGUUUCAACACCAGCAGAAACUCAUUCUUUUAGCUGUGUUUGUUGAUAAUGUCUCCUCAAAAUAGGCUUAAAGAAUAAUUAAAGAACAUGAAUGAAUGUGUCCAAUAAAUUAAAG